RNAcentral lists this ribosomal RNA (273 nucleotides) under uncultured Ascomycota. RNAcentral describes it as "partial 18S ribosomal RNA". It matches the Rfam family "Eukaryotic small subunit ribosomal RNA", at positions 548 to 827 of the family's 1831-position model. Lineage: Eukaryota; Fungi; Ascomycota. The record is from RNAcentral.
UUGGAGGGCAAGUCUGGUGCCAGCAGCCGCGGUAAUUCCAGCUCCAAUAGCGUAUAUUAAAGUUGUUGUGGUUAAAAAGCUCGUAGUUGAACCUUGGGCCUGGCUGGCCGGUCCGCCUCACCGCGUGCACUGGUCCGGCCGGGCCUUUCCCUCUGCGGAACCCCAUGCCCUUCACUGGGUGUGGCGGGGAAACAGGACUUUUACUCUGAACAAAUUAGAUCGCUUAAAGAAGGCCUAUGCUCGAAUACAUUAGCAUGGAAUAAUAGAAUAGGA